CAGCAGCCGCGGGAAUACGUAGGUGGCAAGCGUUGUCCGGAAUUAUUGGGCGUAAAGGGCUCGCAGGCGGUUUCUUAGGUCUGAUGUGAAAGCCCCCGGCUCAACCGGGGAGGGUCAUUGGAAACUGUUUAACUUGAGUGCAAGAGGGGAGAGUGGAAUUCCAUGUGUAGCGGUGAAAUGCGUAGAUAUUAGGAAGAACACCGAUGGCGAAGGCAAUCCCCUGGGCCGACACUGACACUGAGAGACGAAAGCUAGGGGAGCAAAUGGGAUUAGAUACCCGGGUAGUCCCUGUCUCUUAUAC
This 301-nucleotide ribosomal RNA is filed under the name uncultured bacterium. Its description in RNAcentral is "partial 16S ribosomal RNA". It matches the Rfam family "Bacterial small subunit ribosomal RNA", at positions 509 to 807 of the family's 1533-position model. The record is from RNAcentral.